UACGUAGGGGGCGAGCGUUGUCCAAAGUUACUGGGCGUAAAGCGCGCGUAGGCGGUCUCUUAAGUCCGGGGUGAAAGGUUCAGCGCUCAACGCGAACAGUGCCCUGGAGACUGGGGGACUUGAGUGUGGGAGGGGGCAGUGGAAUUCCGGGUGUAGCGGUGAAAUGCGCAGAUAUCAGGAGGAACACCGGUGGCGAAGGCGGGUCUCUGGGCCGUUACUGACGCUGAGGAGCGAAAGCGUGGGGAGCGAACAGG
RNAcentral lists this ribosomal RNA (254 nucleotides) under uncultured bacterium. RNAcentral's name for it is "partial 16S ribosomal RNA". It matches the Rfam family "Bacterial small subunit ribosomal RNA", at positions 524 to 776 of the family's 1533-position model. The record is from RNAcentral.